RNAcentral lists this ribosomal RNA (494 nucleotides) under uncultured bacterium. RNAcentral describes it as "partial 16S ribosomal RNA". It matches the Rfam family "Bacterial small subunit ribosomal RNA", at positions 28 to 507 of the family's 1533-position model. The record is from RNAcentral.
GACGAACGCUGGCGGCGUGCUUAACACAUGCAAGUCGAACGGUGAAGCGCCUUCCUUUUUGGUGGGUGUGGAUGAGUGGCGAACGGGUGGGUAACACGUGAGUAACCUGCCCCCUUCUUCUGGAUAACCGCAUGAAAGUGUGGCUAAUACGGGAUAUUCUGGGUCUGUCGCAUGGUGGGUCUGGGAAAGAUAUUGUUUCGGUGGGGGAUGGGCUCGCGGCCUAUCAGCUUGUUGGUGGGGUGAUGGCCUACCAAGGCGGUGACGGGUAGCCGGCCUGAGAGGGUGGACGGUCACACUGGGACUGAGACACGGCCCAGACUCCUACGGGAGGCAGCAGUGGGGAAUAGUGCACAAUGGGCGCAAGCCUGAUGCAGCGACGCCGCGUGAGGGAUGGAGGCCUGCGGGUUGUGAACCUCUUUCGCCAGUGAAGCAGGCCUGCCUCGUUUGUGGGUGGGUUGACGGUAGCUGGAUAAGAAGCGCCGGCUAACUACGUG